ACCACCGCCACACCGCUUCCCCUUUCUUCUAACAUACCAACACACAGCAACAGAAAUCAGAAGCAAGAAAGAAAAGGGAGAGAGAGAUCCUAGAGUGAGGCUGCGAUGGGAAAGAGAGAAGAGAGGAGGGGGAACUGCUGCCGAACCGCCACUGCGUCUUGAUGCUGCCGCCGUCUUCUCGGUGGAGCCGUGCGCGAGAGAGGAAGGCCGAAAGAGAGAUAGAGAUUCGAGAGAGAAGAGGAAGCAGCGUUGUCACCCAGCCGCCGUGCCUCCUUACUUCCGUUGAGUCACCCAUUCCCGUUGCUGUUCCGGUGCCGUGGAGCCAUCGCCGCCAUCAUCACGAGCCGCACAUCAUCGCCGUUAGAUCCACGUCGCCAGAGCCAGAGAACA
This is a non-coding RNA of Arachis ipaensis, 390 nucleotides long. NCBI's taxonomy places the organism in Eukaryota, Viridiplantae, Streptophyta, Magnoliopsida, Fabales, Fabaceae. The record is from RefSeq and is a predicted model, not a curated record.